This 497-nucleotide ribosomal RNA is filed under the name uncultured bacterium. RNAcentral's name for it is "partial 16S ribosomal RNA". It matches the Rfam family "Bacterial small subunit ribosomal RNA", at positions 28 to 507 of the family's 1533-position model. The record is from RNAcentral.
GAUGAACGCUGGCGGCGUGCCUAAUACAUGCAAGUCGAGCGAACGGACGAGAAGCUUGCGUCUCUGAUGUUAGCGGCGGGCGGGUGAGUAACACGUGGAUAACCUACCUAUAAGACGGGGAUAACUUCGGGAAACCGGCGCUAAUACCGGAGAAUAUUUUGAACCGCAUGGGUCAAAAGUGAAAGACGGUGUUGCUGGCAGUUAUAGAUGGAUCCGCGCUGCAUUGGCGAGUUGGUAAGUUAACGGGUUACCAAGGCAACUAGGCAUAGCCGAACGGACAGGCGGGUAGGCCACACGGGAGCUGGACCACCGUCAAGACUCCUACGGGAGGCAGCAGUCGGCAACCUUCCGCAAUGGGCGAAAACCUGACGCAGCAGCCCCGCGUCAGUGAUGAAGGUCCUCCGAUCGUAAAAAUCUGUUAUUAGGGAAGAACCUAUGUGUAAGUAACUGUGCACAGCUUGACGGUACCUAAUCAGAAAGCCACGGCUAACUACGUG